This 464-nucleotide ribosomal RNA is filed under the name uncultured bacterium. RNAcentral describes it as "partial 16S ribosomal RNA". It matches the Rfam family "Bacterial small subunit ribosomal RNA", at positions 28 to 504 of the family's 1533-position model. The record is from RNAcentral.
GAUGAACGCUGACAGAAUGCUUAACACAUGCAAGUCAACUUGAAUGUGGGUUUUUAACUUAGGUUUGGGUGGCGGACGGGUGAGUAACGCGUAAAGAACUUGCCUCACAGCUAGGGACAACAUUUGGAAACGAAUGCUAAUACCUAAUAUUAUGAUAAUAGGGCAUCCUAUAAUUAUGAAAGCUAUAAGCGCUGUGAGAGAGCUUUGCGUCCCAUUAGCUAGUUGGAGAGGUAACGGCUCACCAAGGCGAUGAUGGGUAGCCGGCCUGAGAGGGUGAUCGGCCGCAAGGGGACUGAGGCACGGCCCUUACUCCUACGGGAGGCAGCAGUGGGGUAUAUUGGACAAUGGACCGAGAGUCUGAUCCAGCAAUUCUGUGUGCACGAUGAAGUUUUUCGGAAUGUAAAGUGCUUUCAGUUGGGAAGAAACAAAUGACGGUACCAACAGAAGAAGUGACGGCUAAAUAC